CAGCAGCCGCGGUAAUACGGAGGGGGCAAGCGUUGUUCGGAAUUACUGGGCGUAAAGGGCGCGCAGGCGGCUGCUCAAGUCAGGCGUGAAAGGCCUGGGCUCAACCCGGGAAUUGCGCUUGAGACUGAGCUGGCUUGAGUGCGGGAGAGGAUGGUGGAAUUCCCAGUGUAGCGGUGAAAUGCGUAGAGACCGGGAAGAACACCAGUGGCGAAGGCGGCUACCUGGACAGGUACUGACGCUGAAGCGCGAAAGCUAGGGGAGCAAACAGGAUUAGAUACCCUGGUAGUCCACGCCGUAAACGAUGGGUGCUAGGUGUGGGAGGUGUCGACUCCUCCCGUGCCGCAGCUAACGCAUUAAGCACCCCGCCUGGGGAGUACGGCCGCAAGGCUAAAACUCAAAGGAAUUGACGG
RNAcentral lists this ribosomal RNA (410 nucleotides) under uncultured bacterium. RNAcentral describes it as "bacterial SSU rRNA". It matches the Rfam family "Bacterial small subunit ribosomal RNA", at positions 509 to 916 of the family's 1533-position model. The record is from RNAcentral.